RNAcentral lists this ribosomal RNA (301 nucleotides) under uncultured eukaryote. Its description in RNAcentral is "partial large subunit ribosomal RNA". It matches the Rfam family "Eukaryotic large subunit ribosomal RNA", at positions 40 to 350 of the family's 3401-position model. The record is from RNAcentral.
AUAUUAUUAAGCGGAGGAAAAGAAACUAACCAGGAUUCCCUCAGUAACGGCGAGUGAAGCGGGAAGAGCUCAGACUGAAAAUCUUCGGAGUUGUAGUCUGUAGAAGCUAGAUCGGCGUUCGACCCCGGGCCAAGUCUCCUGGAACGGAGCACCAAGGAGGGUGACAGUCCCGUCUAUGCCUGGGGGUAGGAUGCGUACGGUCGGCUUUCGAAGAGUCGAGUUGCUUGGGACUGCAGCUCUAAGUGGGUGGUAAAUUCCAUCUAAAGCUAAAUAUUGGUGGGAGACCGAUAGCGCACAAGUA